GCCCGGUUAGCACAGUCGGUAGAGCACCAGACUCUUAAUCUGGCUGUCGCGGGUUCGAGCCCCGCCGCAUCGGGCU
Molecule: transfer RNA, 76 nt
Filed under: Pristionchus pacificus
Lineage: Eukaryota; Metazoa; Nematoda; Chromadorea; Rhabditida; Neodiplogasteridae
Description: tRNA-Lys (CTT) (tRNA-Lys-CTT-13-1)
Rfam family: tRNA
About the family: Transfer RNA (tRNA) molecules are approximately 80 nucleotides in length.
Source: RNAcentral